ACGGAGGGGGCUAGCGUUGUUCGGAAUUACUGGGCGUAAAGCGUGCGUAGGCGGCUUUGUAAGUUAGAGGUGAAAGCCCGGAGCUCAACUCCGGAACUGCCUUUGAGACUGCAUCGCUUGAACAUCGGAGAGGUAAGUGGAAUUCCGAGUGUAGAGGUGAAAUGCGUAGAUAUCAGGAGGAACACCUGCGGUGUAGACAGCUUACUGGACCAUUUCUGACGCUGAGACACGAAAGCGUGGGUAGCAAACAGGA
This 253-nucleotide ribosomal RNA is filed under the name uncultured prokaryote. Its description in RNAcentral is "partial 16S ribosomal RNA". It matches the Rfam family "Bacterial small subunit ribosomal RNA", at positions 525 to 777 of the family's 1533-position model. The record is from RNAcentral.